ACGGGUGCGUAACGCGUGGGAAUCUGCCCAGAGCUACGGAAUAACUCCUCGAAAGGGGUGCUAAUACCGUAUGAUGUCGCAAGACCAAAGAUUUAUCGGCUUUGGAUGAGCCCGCGUAGGAUUAGCUAGUUGGUGGGGUAAAGGCCUACCAAGGCGACGAUCCUUAGCUGGUCUGAGAGGAUGAUCAGCCACACUGGGACUGAGACACGGCCCAGACUCCUACGGGAGGCAGCAGUGGGGAAUAUUGGACAAUGGGCGAAAGCCUGAUCCAGCAAUGCCGCGUGAGUGAUGAAGGCCUUAGGGUUGUAAAGCUCUUUUACCCGGGAAGAUAAUGACUGUACCGGGAGAAUAAGCCCCGGCUAACUCCGUGCCAGCAGCCGCGGUAAUACGGAGGGGGCUAGCGUUGUUCGGAAUUACUGGGCGUAAAGCGCACGUAGGCGGCUUUGUAAGUUAGAGGUGAAAGCCUGGAGCUCAACUCCAGAAUUGCCUUUAAGACUGCAUCGCUUGAACGUCGGAGAGGUGAGUGGAAUUCCGAGUGUAGAGGUGAAAUUCGUAGA
RNAcentral lists this ribosomal RNA (557 nucleotides) under uncultured bacterium. Its description in RNAcentral is "bacterial SSU rRNA". It matches the Rfam family "Bacterial small subunit ribosomal RNA", at positions 102 to 694 of the family's 1533-position model. The record is from RNAcentral.